This 75-nucleotide transfer RNA is filed under the name Propionicimonas sp. RNAcentral's name for it is "tRNA-Val". It matches the Rfam family "tRNA". Rfam says of the family: Transfer RNA (tRNA) molecules are approximately 80 nucleotides in length. Their secondary structure includes four short double-helical elements and three loops (D, anti-codon, and T loops). Further hydrogen bonds mediate the characteristic L-shaped molecular structure. tRNAs have two regions of fundamental functional importance: the anti-codon, which is responsible for specific mRNA codon recognition, and the 3' end, to which the tRNAs corresponding amino acid is attached (by aminoacyl-tRNA synthetases). tRNAs cope with the degeneracy of the genetic code in two manners: having more than one tRNA (with a specific anti-codon) for a particular amino acid; and 'wobble' base-pairing, i.e. permitting non-standard base-pairing at the 3rd anti-codon position. RNAcentral also lists the same sequence under 1 other name. Lineage: Bacteria; Bacillati; Actinomycetota; Actinomycetes; Propionibacteriales; Nocardioidaceae. The record is from RNAcentral.
GGGCGGCUGGCGCAGCGGUAGCGCGCUUCCCUGACACGGAAGAGGUCACUGGUUCGAUCCCAGUGUCGCCCACGA